RNAcentral lists this ribosomal RNA (115 nucleotides) under Periophthalmus magnuspinnatus. Lineage: Eukaryota; Metazoa; Chordata; Actinopteri; Gobiiformes; Gobiidae. The record is from RNAcentral.
CAUUUCUACACCAGUAUGAAAUGACUAUACCCCCUUGAGAAUUCUGAUCUAAGCAGGGUUGGGCCUGGUUAGUACUUGGAUGAGAGACUGCAGGGAAUACCAAGCGAUAAAGUGG